RNAcentral lists this ribosomal RNA (466 nucleotides) under uncultured bacterium. RNAcentral's name for it is "partial 16S ribosomal RNA". It matches the Rfam family "Bacterial small subunit ribosomal RNA", at positions 30 to 507 of the family's 1533-position model. The record is from RNAcentral.
CGAACGCUGGCGGCGUGCUUAACACAUUCAAGUCGAACGGAAAGGCCCUGCUUUUGUGGGGUGCUCGAGUGGCGAACGGGUGAGUAACACGUGAGUAACCUGCCCUUGACUUUGGGAUAACUUCAGGAAACUGGGGCUACUACCGGAUAGGAGCUCCUGCUGCAUGGUGGGGGUUGGAAAGUUUCGGCGGUUGGGGAUGGACUCGCGGCUUAUCAGCUUGUUGGUGGGGUAGUGGCUUACCAAGGCUUUGACGGGUAGCCGGCCUGAGAGGGUGACCGGCCACAUUGGGACUGAGAUACGGCCCAGACUCCUACGGGAGGCAGCAGUGGGGAAUAUUGCACAAUGGGCGGAAGCCUGAUGCAGCAACGCCGCGUGCGGGAUGACGGCCUUCGGGUUGUAAACCGCUUUCGCCUGUGACGAAGCGUGAGUGACGGUAAUGGGUAAAGAAGCACCGGCUAACUACGUG